RNAcentral lists this ribosomal RNA (274 nucleotides) under uncultured bacterium. RNAcentral describes it as "partial 16S ribosomal RNA". It matches the Rfam family "Bacterial small subunit ribosomal RNA", at positions 523 to 796 of the family's 1533-position model. The record is from RNAcentral.
AUACUGAGGGUGCAAGCGUUAAUCGGAAUUACUGGGCGUAAAGCGCACGUAGGCGGUUUAUUAAGUCAGAUGUGAAAGCCCUGGGCUUAACCUGGGAACUGCAUUUGAGACUGGUAGGCUAGAGUAUGGUAGAGGAUAGUGGAAUUCCGGGUGUAGCGGUGAAAUGCGUAGAUAUCCGGAGGAACAUCAGUGGCGAAGGCGGCUAUCUGGACCAAUACUGACGCUGAGGUGCGAAAGCGUGGGGAGCAAACAGGAUUAGAAACCCCAGUAGUCC